RNAcentral lists this ribosomal RNA (297 nucleotides) under uncultured Pseudomonas sp. RNAcentral's name for it is "partial 16S ribosomal RNA". It matches the Rfam family "Bacterial small subunit ribosomal RNA", at positions 1089 to 1382 of the family's 1533-position model. Lineage: Bacteria; Pseudomonadati; Pseudomonadota; Gammaproteobacteria; Pseudomonadales; Pseudomonadaceae. The record is from RNAcentral.
GUAACGAGCGCAACCCUUGUCCUUAGUUACCAGCACGGUUAUGGUGGGCGACUCUAAGGAGACUGCCGGUGGACAAACCGGAGGAAGGUGGGGAUGACGUCAAGUCAUCAUGGCCCUUACGGCCUGGGCUACACACGUGCUACAAUGGUCGGUACAAAGGGUUGCCAAGCCGCGAGGUGGAGCUAAUCCCAUAAAACCGAUCGUAGUCCGGAUCGCAGUCUGCAACUCGACUGCGUGAAGUCGGAAUCGCUAGUAAUCGUGAAUCAGAAUGUCACGGUGAAUACGUUCCCGGGCCUU